Molecule: ribosomal RNA, 268 nt
Filed under: uncultured bacterium
Lineage: Bacteria
Description: partial 16S ribosomal RNA
Rfam family: Bacterial small subunit ribosomal RNA
Source: RNAcentral
CCGGACCGGCGCACGGGUGAGUAACACGUAUGGAACCUGCCCUAUGCAGGGGGAUAAGCGGAAGAAAUUCCGUCUAAUACCGCAUAACACCUUUAGGAGACAUCUUCUUGGGGUCAAAGGAGGCGACUCCGGCAUAGGAUGGCCAUGCGUCGCAUUAGCUAGUCGGCGGGGUAACGGCCCACCGAGGCGACGAUGCGUAGGGGUUCUGAGAGGAAGGUCCCCCACACUGGUACUGAGACACGGACCAGACUCCUACGGGAGGCAGCAG